AUUGAACGCUGGCGGCAUGCUUUACACAUGCAAGUCGAACGGCAGCGCGGGCUUCGGCCUGGCGGCGAGUGGCGAACGGGUGAGUAAUGCAUCGGAACGUGCCCAGUAGUGGGGGAUAGCCCGGCGAAAGCCGGAUUAAUACCGCAUACGACCUGAGGGUGCAAGCGGGGGACCGAAAGGCCUCGCGCUAUUGGAGCGGCCGAUGUCGGAUUAGCUAGUUGGUGGGGUAAAGGCUUACCAAGGCGACGAUCCGUAGCUGGUCUGAGAGGACGACCAGCCACACUGGGACUGAGACACGGCCCAGACUCCUGCGGGAGGCAGCAGUGGGGAAUGUUGGACAAUGGGGGCAACCCUGAUCCAGCCAUGCCGCGUGCGGGAAGAAAGCCUUCGGGUUGUAAACCGCUUUUGUUCGGGAAGAAAUCCUCUGGGCUAAUACCCCGGGGGGAUGACGGUACCGGAAGAAUAAGCACCGGCUAACUACGUG
RNAcentral lists this ribosomal RNA (484 nucleotides) under uncultured bacterium. RNAcentral describes it as "partial 16S ribosomal RNA". It matches the Rfam family "Bacterial small subunit ribosomal RNA", at positions 28 to 507 of the family's 1533-position model. The record is from RNAcentral.